This 369-nucleotide ribosomal RNA is filed under the name Triticum aestivum (bread wheat). Its description in RNAcentral is "partial small subunit ribosomal RNA". The record is from RNAcentral. Lineage: Eukaryota; Viridiplantae; Streptophyta; Magnoliopsida; Poales; Poaceae.
AUGGUGGGAGGAGAAGAAAUGAUUUUUGUGGUGAAAGAGGGGAGAUUCGGGAGGGAGGCAAGGGUGCAGGGGAGCUGUGCGAGGCAGGAGGGAGCGGCGGAGGAGGACCCGUGGGAGAGUAGGGGAGUAGCGCGGCGAGCUGAACAAGAAGCUCCGGCAUCCAUGCACCUAUGUCGGAGCGGCGGGUUGUGUCGAUUGGAGAUGACGAGGAAUGCGAGUUGUGUCAGGGAGUUUGGGAGGGGUUUUCUGAAAAAACACCGCGAGGACAAGUUUUCUCGGAUGGAGGGAGUACAAACUUGUGAUGGUAAAGAGAUAAAAACGAUGGACUGCAUAAUAAAGGUUGCUAUCACAAGGGGCAAUAUAACGUGA